RNAcentral lists this ribosomal RNA (276 nucleotides) under Hydnum umbilicatum. Its description in RNAcentral is "partial 28S ribosomal RNA". Lineage: Eukaryota; Fungi; Basidiomycota; Agaricomycetes; Cantharellales; Hydnaceae. The record is from RNAcentral.
UUCUGACCUCGAAUCAGGUGGGACUACCCGCUGAACUUAAGCAUAUCAAUAAGCGGAGGAAAAGAAACUAACAAGGAUUCCCUUAGUAACUGCGAGUGAAGUGGGAUGAGCUCAAAUUUAAAAUCUGGURGUCUUUGGCUGCCCGAGUUGUAAUCUAGAGAAGUGUUUUCUGUGCUGGACUGUGUUUAAGUUUCCUGGAUAUGGAACAUCAUAGAGGGUGAGAAUCCCGUCCUUAACACAGACACCCCAGUGCUCUGUGAUGCACUCUCGACGAGU